GGGACCGUGGUGUGAAGGUAAGCGUGGUUGCCUCUCACCCAGUCGGCUUGGGUUCGAUCCCAGACGGUCCCG
Transfer RNA from Culex pipiens (northern house mosquito), 72 nucleotides. It matches the Rfam family "tRNA". Rfam says of the family: Transfer RNA (tRNA) molecules are approximately 80 nucleotides in length. Their secondary structure includes four short double-helical elements and three loops (D, anti-codon, and T loops). Further hydrogen bonds mediate the characteristic L-shaped molecular structure. tRNAs have two regions of fundamental functional importance: the anti-codon, which is responsible for specific mRNA codon recognition, and the 3' end, to which the tRNAs corresponding amino acid is attached (by aminoacyl-tRNA synthetases). tRNAs cope with the degeneracy of the genetic code in two manners: having more than one tRNA (with a specific anti-codon) for a particular amino acid; and 'wobble' base-pairing, i.e. permitting non-standard base-pairing at the 3rd anti-codon position. The record is from Rfam. Lineage: Eukaryota; Metazoa; Arthropoda; Insecta; Diptera; Culicidae.